This 474-nucleotide ribosomal RNA is filed under the name uncultured bacterium. RNAcentral's name for it is "bacterial SSU rRNA". It matches the Rfam family "Bacterial small subunit ribosomal RNA", at positions 330 to 797 of the family's 1533-position model. The record is from RNAcentral.
UGCGAACUCCUACGGGAGGCAGCAGUGGGGAAUAUUGGACAAUGGGGGAAACCCUGAUCCAGCAAUGCCGCGUGUGUGAAGAAGGCCUUCGGGUUGUAAAGCACUUUCAGCAGGGAGGAAAGCAUCAUGGUUAAUACCCAUGGUAGUGACGUUACCUGCAGAAGAAGCACCGGCUAACUCCGUGCCAGCAGCCGCGGUAAUACGGAGGGUGCAAGCGUUAUUCGGAAUUACUGGGCGUAAAGCGCACGCAGGCGGCUACCUAAGUCAGAUGUGAAAGCCCCGGGCUUAACCUGGGAACUGCAUUUGAAACUGGGUGGCUAGAGUAUGAAAGAGGAAAGCGGAAUUUCCAGUGUAGCAGUGAAAUGCGUAGAUAUUGGAAGGAACACCGAUGGCGAAGGCAGCUUUCUGGGUCGAUACUGACGCUCAUGUGCGAAAGCGUGGGGAGCAAACAGGAUUAGAUACCCUUGUAGUCCU